RNAcentral lists this unclassified non-coding RNA (677 nucleotides) under Aspergillus tabacinus. RNAcentral describes it as "sequence contains ITS1, 5.8S rRNA gene, ITS2". The stretch from base 200 to 353 matches the Rfam family "5.8S ribosomal RNA". The record is from RNAcentral. Lineage: Eukaryota; Fungi; Ascomycota; Eurotiomycetes; Eurotiales; Aspergillaceae.
UCGUAACAAGGUUUCCGUAGGUGAACCUGCGGAAGGAUCAUUACUGAGUGCGGGCUGCCUUCGGGCGCCCAACCUCCCACCCGUGACUACCUAACACUGUUGCUUCGGCGGGGAGCCCUCUCGGGGGCGAGCCGCCGGGGACUACUGAACUUCAUGCCUGAGAGUGAUGCAGUCUGAGUCUGAAUAUAAAAUCAGUCAAAACUUUCAACAAUGGAUCUCUUGGUUCCGGCAUCGAUGAAGAACGCAGCGAACUGCGAUAAGUAAUGUGAAUUGCAGAAUUCAGUGAAUCAUCGAGUCUUUGAACGCACAUUGCGCCCCCUGGCAUUCCGGGGGGCAUGCCUGUCCGAGCGUCAUUGCUGCCCAUCAAGCCCGGCUUGUGUGUUGGGUCGUCGUCCCCCCCGGGGGACGGGCCCGAAAGGCAGCGGCGGCACCGUGUCCGGUCCUCGAGCGUAUGGGGCUUUGUCACCCGCUCGAUUUAGGGCCGGCCGGGCGCCAGCCGACGUCCAACCAUUUUUCUUCAGGUUGACCUCGGAUCAGGUAGGGAUACCCGCUGAACUUAAGCAUAUCAAUAAGCGGAGGAAAAGAAACCAACCGGGAUUGCCCCAGUAACGGCGAGUGAAGCGGCAAGAGCUCAAAUUUGAAAUCUGGCCCCUCCGGGGUCCGAGUUGUAAUUUGCA